GUGUCAGCAGCCGCGGUAAAACGUAGGAUCCGAGCGUUAUCCGAAUUUACUGGGCGUAAAGCGCGUGUAGGCGGUUCGAUAAGUUGGAUGUGAAAUCUCCUGGCUCAACUGGGAGAGGUCGUUCAAUACUGUCGGACUAGAGGGUGGUAGAGGGAGGUGGAAUUCCCGGUGUAGUGGUGAAAUGCGUAGAUAUCGGGAGGAACACCUGUGGCGAAAGCGGCCUCCUGGCCCACUCCUGACGCUCAGACGCGAAAGCUAGGGGAGCGAACGGGAUUAGAUACCCCUGUAGUCC
Molecule: ribosomal RNA, 292 nt
Filed under: uncultured bacterium
Lineage: Bacteria
Description: partial 16S ribosomal RNA
Rfam family: Bacterial small subunit ribosomal RNA
Source: RNAcentral